Molecule: non-coding RNA, 767 nt
Organism: Paramuricea clavata
Lineage: Eukaryota; Metazoa; Cnidaria; Anthozoa; Malacalcyonacea; Plexauridae
Source: the annotation of a GenBank genome assembly
CUGUCGGUCGCAAAAUCACAUUCUUUCACCGUUGGGAAUUGAAAAUACAUUAACCAUGCAAAGUUAAUCAAUCCAAAAGCACCGCGAGCCUGCUGCAAGGUUUUUGUUUCGUAAAACGUUUUGAUUACUGCGAAUGUUCUCUGUUCAGUGGUUAAUUGAACCAUGUUUAAUGCAAUAAUGGACGUUCGUGUUGUCUCACUAAGACGAAGAUUGACGAGUUGAGCUCAUUUUCAGAUAACUUAACAUUUAAUUCCCUCUUGGGAAUUGUCUAUGUUUCGUUUUCCACAAUGCAAUUCCCAACGGUGGAAGAAUGUGAUUUCAACCGGCAAUUUUUAUUUGACGAGUAUGUGGCUAUUUCUCAUCGUUACGAUUUAAAAAGAGUAUCAUGAUUGAAAAGCUAAAUAACUGUUCUUUUGUCGUAUGUAAAAAUUGAAUUGUUUAGCCACGUUUAUGAUUCACGACAGCCUGUUUUUUUAGACACCCUGCAGACCGCCCCCUCCCAACAGCCGCCUACUUUAUCAAAAUGACAGAAACCUACUCAGAAUAAUUCUGAAAGCCCUGAAAGAGCCCUUUUUGUACAAGCUAAUGUUGCUGUAAAUACUAUAUUAUCAUCGAAGGUGCCCUUUUUGUUUCCUGAAAACAUUUACGUAUGUCAUUUUACACAAGCUAGUUAGCACCACAAAGUGCCACACAGACAAACAAUAAGUGAAAUGUGGAAGUAUAAAAUUUUGAUAUAACACACAUUGUACUGUACGUCUAGAGAUAAG